UACAGAGGGUGCAAGCGUUAAUCGGAUUUACUGGGCGUAAAGCGCACGUAGGCGGUUUUUUAAGUCAGAUGUGAAAGCCCCGGGCUCAACCUGGGAAUUGCAUUUGAAACUGGGAAACUAGAGUGUGUGAGAGGGGGGUAGAAUUCCAAGUGUAGCGGUGAAAUGCGUAGAGAUUUGGAGGAAUACCAGUGGCGAAGGCGGCCCCCUGGCACAACACUGACGCUCAGGUGCGAAAGCGUGGGGAGCAAACAGG
This 253-nucleotide ribosomal RNA is filed under the name uncultured bacterium. Its description in RNAcentral is "partial 16S ribosomal RNA". It matches the Rfam family "Bacterial small subunit ribosomal RNA", at positions 524 to 776 of the family's 1533-position model. The record is from RNAcentral.